Long non-coding RNA from Eptesicus fuscus (big brown bat), 514 nucleotides. RefSeq lists it as uncharacterized. The record is from RefSeq and is a predicted model, not a curated record. Lineage: Eukaryota; Metazoa; Chordata; Mammalia; Chiroptera; Vespertilionidae. The transcript has 4 exons.
GUCAUUGCCAAGAGCCUACUGGCUGAAAUGGAGCAGGAGGAGCCGACCCAUAAAGCAGGAAGCUCCUACUUUAGAGCGCCUGCGCUGACCCCCAGCCUCCAUCUCCAAACGGCUCCUGGAUUAGCCCUAUGGGUGGGCGUGUGCUUCCACAUCCUCUCCAAAGGGAAUGUCCAUCACACCGGUGCUUUUCUUCAAGCUAAAUGCUGAGACUCCUUCAACGUCUUCAAGAAAUGUGGACUUCUGGUCAGGAUGGCAGAGCUGCCUUUUAUUGAACACAAAGCAGGGUUGUGAACUUCUGUCUAUGCUGUGGAGUAAUUAAGUGCCAGAAUACGGCUCAUCAGCAGAGCCACUGGAAGGUGGCAGGAACCUCACUGUUCAAUUAAGGUUUACGUGUCACCGGAGCAUGUGCAGGAGGAGGAGAAAGAAGAGACCUGUGUGGAGGCAGCUGAAAUAAAUGAGCUUUAACAAGAAGAUUAGCCAUCCUUCAGAAGUCAGGGCCCUCCCAGGAUUUCAA